RNAcentral lists this long non-coding RNA (2619 nucleotides) under Haliotis rubra (blacklip abalone). RNAcentral describes it as "uncharacterized LOC124254818". Lineage: Eukaryota; Metazoa; Mollusca; Gastropoda; Lepetellida; Haliotidae. The record is from RNAcentral.
CACAUUAUACUGACUCCGAGCCGACCAGUCCUUGUUUUACCCAUUAAUGCCGAGCGCCAGGCAAGUGAGAAGUGGGCGUGCGUGCGCUCGUGGAACUGUUAUAUUCUAUAUAAUGAUCCACGGUUAUAACGAACCGAAACCAGAGGUCCCUUUACAAAUUACGUAUAUUACAAGUGUUUAUAACAAAGGAAUAAUGUAAGCAUAUAUUUCCUAACUAUAUGUACUUUUUGAAGCCGACAUUUACAUUUUCAUAAUCUGUAUCAAACUAGUGUCUACUACUGAGGGGGAUACCCCAUGGAGAGUGUACGUCUGUGUGUGUGUGCGCGCGUGUGCGUGUGUGUGCUCACCCUUAUGUAAAACUUAGUUUCUAAACUUUAUUUCAUAUUGCUCUGUGUGAUCUCUGGGGUUUUUUCCUUUCCAUUGAUAUUUGCUGGUUGUGCCUUUUUAGGGAGAGAAAUAAAGGCUUUAUGAGUCACUUUGAAAGGCGACAGAUCUUACUUAAAGCCUAUAAAUAUCAGUUGACAUUACCUUUUUUUGUCGAAUUACCCAAAUGUUGUGAGAGUAUUUUGUCAAUCGGUUGUUGUUUUUUAACUCAUAUAACGCUUGGCAUCUUAUUGUUCAUAUAACGUAAGCAUCUAGUCUUUACAGAGGCUAGGCACGUUGUGUUUAUAAAGCAUUAGGAUUUUGGAGUUCAUAUAACGUUUGGCAUCCUACUGUUCAUAUACGCUAGGCAUCUUGUUGUUCAUAAAAGGCUAGUCAUCUUUCUGUUCAUAGAGGCUUGGCAUCUUGGUAUUUGAAUAGGCAUGACGUAUUGGUUGGUCAUGAGUCAGAGAGUUGUUUCCUUUCAUCUGAGUUGUUCAAAUAUGUUAAUUUGUGUUUUGAUAUCGUUUUACUGCAAACAGCAUUACAUCAUUUUGUUAUUUUUGUGUUUAGUUAUACACGUGAGACUCGAUGGGUAUUCUUUUGAAUAGCUUAGUGAGUUUAGCUUUACGCCGCACUCAGCAAUACUCCAGCUAUAUGGCGGCGUUCUGUAAAUAAUCGAGUCUGGACCAGACAAUCCUGUUGUUCUUCCUGGAUGUAAGACCAGUGUGUCGUGAGGUAGAUUUGUUCCGUUGACUUCCUUGCUUUCAGAGGAAUUUCAGGAUUACUUGUAUAUAGAUCUUUACAUAUUUACUCUAUAACUCACAUCCCUUAAUCUUUUUUUAUUUUUUAUUAUCAUUACAUUCCCUAUUUGUUUAAAACAAUUUUAUUAAAAGCAGAUCUUAGUAUUCACUAAGAUUAUUGUUUAUCGUCAUGCAUACGAUAGAGACAAUCGUAUUUCAGUUUUACAAAAUAGGUAUUCGUAAGGUGUAUAUAUUUUGUGUUUGAUCUUCAGUUACCUUUUAAUGCAUAAAUAGAAUAUGUGUACAUAUAAUUCACGACUCAGUCUUUGCAAGGAUAGCAAGACAGCUUUACAGACUGGGUAGCCGUGCCCAUGGAAACGAUGUAUGUGUCACUGUUGUUCAUAAUGACGUUGUACAUGUCGUCAUCUCAAAGUCAGGGAUGUAUAAGCAAUCAAACCUGAACAGUAUUAUGCAUGGAAGAUUGUUGUGUUACCUGUGUGUAUGGAUAUAUAUACACGUGGGCGUUAUUGAAGCAUCUCGAACUUUUUCGAAAUUUCGCAUUGAAGAAUAACUGGUGUGAUUCAUUUGUGGAAACCCGACCCGAGAAUAGUGAGCUGACCAACAUAAAGUCUAGCAGUACUAUCACACACGAUGUGAAGCCGACACUAGCAGUAUGUGCCGAGGUAUUUGCCUUGCGGUCAUUUCAACAACGCUGAAAAUCACUCAGCUAUCACCUCCAAGUAGAUUUUUUACAUGCAGUGUAAACCCUGGGAACCGUUGUACAAGGCAAUCUCAGAGGUACAAGCGGCGUAAGUCUAUGUUGUUAUGUGAGUUACGAUCCCUUUGGCGCUGAGAAUGUCGUAAGUCUACAUUAAGGUGUGGGAGUUACGAUCACCUUAUCGCUGAGAUUGUCGUAAGUCUAUGUUAAGGUGUGGGAGUUCCGAUUAUCUUACAUUUGACUGUCGUUAGUCUGUUAAGGUAUGGGAGUUACGAUCACCUUAGCUCUAAGACUGUCGUACGUCAAUGUUAAGAUGUGGGAGUUACGAUCACCUUAGAGCUUAGAUUGUCGUAAGUCUAUGUUAACGUAUGGGAGUUCCGAUCUCUUUACAUUUGACUGUCGUAAGUCUACGAGCAGAUGUAGGAGUUACGAUGACCUUAGCGCUUAGAUCACUUUGUACAUCGUCACCACGGGUCACGUAAGUCAGGUUUUGAAAUGGAGGGUCUCUAUCUCUCACUUGUCAGCCAGAACAAUCGCAAAGGUGUCCAUCUGCUUCAGAUCGGGGUUUGCCAGUAUUGUUUAAUGUGAUUUUGAAUCAGAUGAUGCUUAAUUAAUGCUUACAUGUAUACUAGAAUCACCCAGUAGAGCAUGGCAUGGAGAACUGUGGUAUGCUUUAGUUUCGUUUCCAUACGUAUUCUACUAGUCGUUAAACAUUGAAUGUGCCAAUCAUCAAAUUAUUUUUAUUCUAUAUUUGCUAUUUUGCAAUACCUGUUUAUGGUAAAUAAAUGCUUGAGCAAA